GGAGGGAUAAGCCAAAUGGCAAAUGAUUUAGGUAAACUAGAAAAAUGGUCAGAGUUGUGGCAACUGACAUUUAAUGUGGAUAAGUGCAAGAUAAUGCAUCUUGGGCGUAAAAACCCAAGGGCAGAGUACAGAAUAUUUGAUAGAGUCCUAACCUCAACAUCUGAGGAAAGGGAUUUAGGGGUAAUUAUUUCUGAUGACUUAAAGGUAGGCAGACAAUGUAAU
RNAcentral lists this long non-coding RNA (222 nucleotides) under Pelobates cultripes (western spadefoot toad). The record is from RNAcentral. Lineage: Eukaryota; Metazoa; Chordata; Amphibia; Anura; Pelobatidae.